This 390-nucleotide ribosomal RNA is filed under the name uncultured eukaryote. RNAcentral's name for it is "partial 18S ribosomal RNA". It matches the Rfam family "Eukaryotic small subunit ribosomal RNA", at positions 592 to 975 of the family's 1831-position model. The record is from RNAcentral.
CAAUAGCGUAUAUUAAAGUUGUUGCAGUUAAAAAGCUCGUAGUUGGAUUUCUGUGAGAGUGCCGGUGUCGGCUGAUGCUUGUACGCAGGCGCUCUUACAUCCUUCUGUUAACUGUUCUUGGCAUUUUAUUGCUGGUUCAGGGCUCAGAUAUUUUACCUUGAGAAAAUUAGAGUGUUUCAGGCAGGCUUAUGCCGGAAUACAUUAGCAUGGAAUAAUGGAACAGGACCUGUGCGUCUCUCGGGGCGCCGGUCUCCGUUGUUGGUUUCGGGGACUAAUGUAAUGAUUAAUAGGGAUAGUUGGGGGCAUUAGUAUUUAAUAGUCAGAGGUGAAAUUCUCGGAUUUGUUAAAGACUAACUUAUGCGAAAGCAUUUGCCAAGGAUGUUUNCAUUA